RNAcentral lists this unclassified non-coding RNA (178 nucleotides) under uncultured Hypocreales. RNAcentral's name for it is "sequence contains ITS1". Lineage: Eukaryota; Fungi; Ascomycota; Sordariomycetes; Hypocreales. The record is from RNAcentral.
GAGGGUCGCAAGGCCUCCUACUGCUCUUAACCAUCCCGCGUAACUGCCGGAAAUCAUGUCUCUGCCUCGGCAGCGGCCCCAGGGGGGGCCAGCAGCCCGCCUGCCACGGCGGGUGCUGCCGGCGGCGCCCAAACCAGACGAGAUUGCGAACGCAACGUAUGUUUUUACAAACCUGUUA